UACGUAGGGUGCGAGCGUUGUCCGGAAUUAUUGGGCGUAAAGCGCGCGUAGGCGGUUCGUUAAGUCGGAUGUGAAAAUCCGGGGCUCAACCCCGGACCUGCAUCCGAUACUGGCGGACUGGAGGCAGGCAGGGGAGAUCGGAAUUCCUGGUGUAGCGGUGAAAUGCGCAGAUAUCAGGAGGAACACCGGUGGCGAAGGCGGAUCUCUGGGCCUGUCCUGACGCUCAGGCGCGAAAGCUAGGGGAGCAAACAGG
RNAcentral lists this ribosomal RNA (253 nucleotides) under uncultured bacterium. RNAcentral's name for it is "partial 16S ribosomal RNA". It matches the Rfam family "Bacterial small subunit ribosomal RNA", at positions 524 to 776 of the family's 1533-position model. The record is from RNAcentral.